AGAUUGAACGCUGGCGGCAGGCCUAACACAUGCAAGUCGAGCGGUAGAGAGGUGCUUGCAUCUCUUGAGAGCGGCGGACGGGUGAGUAAUGCCUAGGAAUCUGCCUAGUGGUGGGGGAUAACGUUCGGAAACGGACGCUAAUACCGCAUACGUCCUACGGGAGAAAGCGGGGGACCUUCGGGCCUCGCGCCAUUAGAUGAGCCUAGAUCGGAUUAGCUAGUUGGUGAGGUAAUGGCUCACCAAGGCGACGAUCCGUAACUGGUCUGAGAGGAUGAUCAGUCACACUGGAACUGAGACACGGUCCAGACUCCUACGGGAGCAGCAGUGGGGAAUAGUUGGAACAACUGGGGA
Molecule: ribosomal RNA, 351 nt
Filed under: uncultured soil bacterium
Lineage: Bacteria
Description: bacterial SSU rRNA
Rfam family: Bacterial small subunit ribosomal RNA
Source: RNAcentral